CUUCACCGAGCCGAGCCACAGGGGGCGGUCCUCGGGGCGCGCGGCGCCGUAGGUGGCCAGCAGCGCCUCGGCCUC
Molecule: antisense RNA, 75 nt
Filed under: Streptomyces sp. DSM 15324
Lineage: Bacteria; Bacillati; Actinomycetota; Actinomycetes; Kitasatosporales; Streptomycetaceae
Description: ASpks TB sRNA
Rfam family: ASpks TB sRNA
Source: Rfam by way of RNAcentral